UGUAGCUCAGUUGGUGGAGCAGGAGACUCUUAAUCUCAGAGUUGUGUGUUCGAGCCCUACGCUGGGCAAAA
This is a non-coding RNA of Podarcis lilfordi (Lilford's wall lizard), 71 nucleotides long. The record is from the annotation of a GenBank genome assembly. Lineage: Eukaryota; Metazoa; Chordata; Lepidosauria; Squamata; Lacertidae.